Molecule: ribosomal RNA, 427 nt
Filed under: uncultured bacterium
Lineage: Bacteria
Description: partial 16S ribosomal RNA
Rfam family: Bacterial small subunit ribosomal RNA
Source: RNAcentral
UGGGGAAUAUUGCACAAUGGGCGCAAGCCUGAUGCAGCCAUGCCGCGUGUAUGAAGAAGGCCUUCGGGUUGUAAAGUACUUUCAGCGGGGAGGAAGGCGAUAAGGUUAAUAACCUUGUCGAUUGACGUUACCCGCAGAAGAAGCACCGGCUAACUCCGUGCCAGCAGCCGCGGUAAUACGGAGGGUGCAAGCGUUAAUCGGAAUUACUGGGCGUAAAGCGCACGCAGGCGGUCUGUCAAGUCGGAUGUGAAAUCCCCGGGAUCAACCUGGGAACUGCAUUCGAAACUGGCAGGCUAGAGUCUUGUAGAGGGGGGUAGAAUUCCAGGUGUAGCGGUGAAAUGCGUAGAGAUCUGGAGGAAUACCGGUGGCGAAGGCGGCCCCCUGGACAAAGACUGACGCUCAGGUGCGAAAGCGUGGGGAGCAAACA